Molecule: ribosomal RNA, 276 nt
Filed under: uncultured prokaryote
Description: partial 16S ribosomal RNA
Rfam family: Bacterial small subunit ribosomal RNA
Source: RNAcentral
UACGUAGGGGGCUAGCGUUAUCCGGAAUUACUGGGCGUAAAGGGUGCGUAGGCGGUCUUUCAAGCCAGAAGUGAAAGGCUACGGCUCAACCGUAGUAAGCUCUUGAAACUGUAAGACUUGAGUGCAGGAGAGGAGAGUGGAAUUCCUAGUGUAGCGGUGAAAUGCGUAGAUAUUAGGAGGAACACCAGUUGCGAAGGCGGCUCUCUGGACUGUAACUGACGCUGAGGCACGAAAGCGUGGGGAGCAAACAGGAUUAGAUACCCGGGUAGUCCCUGA